RNAcentral lists this ribosomal RNA (939 nucleotides) under Pseudomonas aeruginosa. Its description in RNAcentral is "bacterial SSU rRNA". It matches the Rfam family "Bacterial small subunit ribosomal RNA", at positions 1 to 901 of the family's 1533-position model. Lineage: Bacteria; Pseudomonadati; Pseudomonadota; Gammaproteobacteria; Pseudomonadales; Pseudomonadaceae. The record is from RNAcentral.
AUUUAUGUGAGGCACAACACGCGCCCUAGGUUUUUGGCCAACCCAGAGUAUUAAUCCUGGCUCAGAUUGAACGCUGGCGGCAGCCAUAACACAUGCAAGUCGAGCGGAUGAAGGGAGCUUGCUCUUGGAUUCAGCGGCGGACGGGUGAGUAAUGCCUAGGAAUCUGCCUGGUAGUGGGGGAUAACGUCCGGAAACGGGCGCUAAUACCGCAUACGUCUUGAGGGAGAAAGUGGGGGAUCUUCGGACCUCACGCUAUCAGAUGAGCAUAGGUCGGAUUAGCUAGUUGGUGGGGUAAAGGCCUACCAAGGCGACGAUCCGUAACUGGUCUGAGAGGAUGAUCAGUCACACUGGAACUGAGACACGGUCCAGACUCCUACGGGAGGCAGCAGUGGGGAAUAUUGGACAAUGGGCGAAAGCCUGAUCCAGCCAUGCCGCGUGUGUGAAGAAGGUCUUCGGAUUGUAAAGCACUUUAAGUUGGGAGGAAGGGCAGUAAGUUAAUACCUUGCUGUUUUGACGUUACCAACAGAAUAAGCACCGGCUAACUUCGUGCCAGCAGCCGCGGUAAUACGAAGGGUGCAAGCGUUAAUCGGAAUUACUGGGCGUAAAGCGCGCGUAGGUGGUUCAGCAAGUUGGAUGUGAAAUCCCCGGGCUCAACCUGGGAACUGCAUCCAAAACUACUGAGCUAGAGUACGGUAGAGGGUGGUGGAAUUUCCUGUGUAGCGGUGAAAUGCGUAGAUAUAGGAAGGAACACCAGUGGCGAAGGCGACCACCUGGACUGAUACUGACACUGAGGUGCGAAAGCGUGGGGAGCAAACAGGAUUAGAUACCCUGGUAGUCCACGCCGUAAACGAUGUCGACUAGCCGUUGGGAUCCUUGAGAUCUUAGUGGCGCAGCUAACGCGAUAAGUCGACCGCCUGGGAGUCCCCCCAUGGUAAAUCU